Molecule: unclassified non-coding RNA, 344 nt
Filed under: soil metagenome
Description: partial contains 5.8S ribosomal RNA, internal transcribed spacer 2, and large subunit ribosomal RNA
Rfam family: 5.8S ribosomal RNA (bases 1-119)
Source: RNAcentral
GAUGAAGAACGCAGUGAAAUGCGAUACGUAAUGUGAAUUGCAAAUUCAGUGAAUCAUCGAGUCUUUGAACGCACAUUGCGCCCCCUGGUAUUCCGGGGGGCAUGCCUGUCCGAGCGUCAUUGCUGCCCUCAAGCACGGCUUGUGUGUUGGGCCCCGUCCUCCGAUCCCGGGGGACGGGCCCGAAAGGCAGCGGCGGCACCGCGUCCGGUCCUCGAGCGUAUGGGGCUUUGUCACCCGCUCUGUAGGCCCGGCCGGCGCUUGCCGAUCAACCCAAAUUUUUAUCCAGGUUGACCUCGGAUCAGGUAGGGAUACCCGCUGAACUUAAGCAUAUCAAUAAGCGAGGA